GGAGACUUUAUUUAUUACUUUUUUAUUUACUACUAUUGAACUAAACUUUUUUUCAGGAAAAAGGGAAAAUCAUUUAUAAGGGGGGGUGACAUAAAGGGUUAAUACGACCAAAAAUAGAAUAAAAGCUAAGUGACUUGUAAAAAUAAUUUUUUACACAUGUAUAUAUUAUUUUUAUUUUCUCUAAUUUAACAUUAUCAUCUAAAUUAAUUAUCUCUUUUUCAUAGCUCAGGGGAUGACCUAAAGGGAUGAACUUAAGGGUUGACAAAGACCAAGAAGUAGAACAAAAACCAGGUAAAAUUAUUUGUAUAUAAAUAAAUAUAUGUAUAAAUAAGAGGAAUGUCUAUCAUAGGAGAAUAAUUAAAUUAAACCAAAAUCACAUAAAAUAAUUAGUCAACUAUCAUGAUAAAUAAAUAAGAAGGGGAGGAAACAUCAAAUUUGGGCCCUGGGCCCAAAUUCUGCUGCUGCAGGUCUUAGGGCAUUUAGGCCUAUUUUCUUUCCAAAGUCAUGAUACAUUUUUGAGUGUAUAUUCUAUGCAUAAGCUGUGUAUAUUGACGAGUUUUGCGCUCCUGAACCUGAAAUUUAAACCAAAACUUUGUAUUUUUGCGUUUUUAACUUCCUGGAAACGUUUUCCAACUGCAUAUUGUAUAUUCACAUUGUAUACCAGUGUAUACGGGAUGUAUAUCGACCUGUUUUUCGGCUUUUCGGGGACCUGCAAAUUAAUUCCCAGCAACAAAUUUGCUGAUUUUGAUCUGUACACCAGUUAUAACGGGAUGGACGACUCGGAUACGGUGGUGUGAGCCUUUACGUCUCGAUGAGAGGAUGCAAAUGGAUGAAGUAAAGUCCGUAAGGACCCGAAGAAAUUUUUUACAUGCGAUAAAAUAGAAAUGGGUUAGCAUAUGAAAUAAUAUAAGAAACAAGAUAUAUAUUAAAAGAAAGCAGAUAUUACUUUUAAAAAUAAAGGAAAGCUACUUAAGGGAUUUGAAUGAGGCUAAAAUACAUGACUCUAAGGAAGACCAAGUGAAUAGCACAAACAAAAUCUUUAAAAAAAUAAAAAACUCUCUAGACAGUAGCAUGUAUUGUGCGUGUAUGCAUACUUAAGAACAUACCAUGCUCAGGGAACAUAUAGAUAAUUCAACUCAAAUGUAUUAACAGAAAACAUGCUGCAUAUUUAUUCCAAUGGAACACCUCCUGCCAAAGUCAAGAUAAUUCAUUCGGUGAGAUCUUACAUUGCUAAAUCCAACCUUUUAAACAAAGAGAAAACUAGUAAGAUCUUUUUUUUUUCUUUCCCAAACCAUUAUAAAAGGAAGUAAAAUAUGACUAUGAAUAAUCAAAACCAAAGGAGUUUAUUCCUCCGAGCGAACAUGUUAUGCAUAAAUGCAAAUAGAGAUGAAAUAAAGUAUAGAAUGCAAGGAGAUCAUUAUUAAGCAAAGACACCAUAUAAGUAGCCGAGAAAGAUGGCAACUAAAACUAAGAUAGGUAUCUUCAAAUGUAGACCAAAGGUUGGAAAACUAUUGGUAUUCUAACUGACAACAUCCUCCAAAAAAGGUUUCUACGCCUCAAUAUAUCAAACAAUUAAUAGAUACUUAUGAUCCAAACCGAAGUUGCGAUUUCUAAUCUAGGGAUGACAGUAUGCCAUUUUAAGAGCUUCUAAUCGAGCACUAGAGCUGGCCAACAUACUUAUAGAGCAAAUUGAACCAAGACAAACAGAAGAGGGAAACAAAUGUCCAUUUCGGAUAAGUUUCACGAUAUUUCAAGGAGCUGACUACAAAUAAUAAGCAACUUUCGAGCGAAACAGAGUUAAUCCCGACUCGAACAAAGUUCCUAUCAAAAUGAAGAAUGAUCUCAAACAAACUGAACUUACACGAAUUUACAGAGAUGUUUCAAAUUCAUUCAGUCUCUAAGCAUCAAAUACGAAAAUGUAGCCAAAGGAAUCGAAUUAAACGACAAAUAAGCAUGGUUUUGACCUCCUUAGAAAAUAUCAACUAGACCAAAGUAAACAACAGAGACACACAUUUUUGAAAUGUAGAUCAUGAAAUCAUUACUGAUCCAUAGCCUUCACAAGUAACUAGUUGAGACAGUAAGGAAAUAAGAAGAUUAAAGUAGUGCACAAGCAAGGGUUCGGGGCCAAAUGAAACAUCAAAAUUUCAACGAGGACGUAAACACACAACCUCAUGGGCUAAUAGGCAGAUUGGUUACUGCUUUGCAGCUAAUAGUGAGUAAAAAAUUAAUACAAGCAACUCACACAGUCGAUAGUCAAACGAGCAAAACAGGGAUAUCUAACCAGCUUUGAAAGCGCCAACUUCCGACGACUCAAAGAAAACCCCGGUGAACGAAGAAACAAGCAAGGCACUCAAACAAGGCCUAAACUCUCACUUUUUUUUUUUUUUUUUGCUUCUGAGAACUUAUCCUCAAAUAAUUGCAGCUGAUAGUUUACUAUAUUUUCCUCUCAAAUUUCAACUAUUCACCAAGCAAAGUUUUCUGUCAGCGAAAAAAAUUUCCCCCUUUUACAAUGAAGCGAAAGAGAAUAUACAUAGGGGUUAUUAGGGUUCGAUUAUUGGGGGAAAUUGAGUGAGGAUGGGUCCAAAUUCGAAUUUCAAAGUCCAAAUCUCUUUCACAAAUUGAGGGAGACACCGUUUCCUGACGAUUCGGCUCCAUUCCGGAAGAGGAAAGGAAACCAAAGGCUUGGAUUGACUCGAGCGUCCUUGGCGAACGAUGUGGCCCCAUCUCAAGGCCACAAGGACGGAUUUGCAGCUGCUGGUACGAAAAGACGAGAGGAACGUUGAAGAAAGGGACAAAGAAUUAUCUUACUGGUCUCUACUUUGGGGCGUUAUUUUUUGGGAAUUGUCACGCUAU
This 2853-nucleotide long non-coding RNA is filed under the name Solanum lycopersicum (tomato). RNAcentral's name for it is "long non-coding RNA (SLYC_LNC000233)". Lineage: Eukaryota; Viridiplantae; Streptophyta; Magnoliopsida; Solanales; Solanaceae. The record is from RNAcentral.